GGUGAGAAAACUGUUAUCCAAAUAAGAAAGCUGUUUGCCUAGAUGAGAAAAUUGGUUGCUUGGUUAAACUGGUUUAUACAAAUAUUCUAAAGCAAACAGUGAAGCAAGAGUAACAGCCGUGGUGGCAGCAUCUGGAUCCUUGAUUGACAGCAUUAUGGAAAGUUACUGGCCAGAUACUCCUUACUUAAGUUGGCACCAAUCAACUUGCCUGGGGAUCAGUCAAAUGGGGUGAGGUGAGGGGGACUUCAGGAGAUCCUUCCCAGAUGGAUGCCAAAUUCCUUUGAUAGCCCUGUCAUUGUCAAGAAUUUCUUCAAGUUUAUGUGUAUAAGAAUAAAAUCUUGUUCAAGUUUAUGAU
This 355-nucleotide long non-coding RNA is filed under the name Homo sapiens (human). RNAcentral's name for it is "HSALNT0369495". The record is from RNAcentral. Lineage: Eukaryota; Metazoa; Chordata; Mammalia; Primates; Hominidae.